RNAcentral lists this long non-coding RNA (269 nucleotides) under Musa acuminata (dwarf banana). RNAcentral describes it as "long non-coding RNA (MACU_LNC005199)". The record is from RNAcentral. Lineage: Eukaryota; Viridiplantae; Streptophyta; Magnoliopsida; Zingiberales; Musaceae.
GAUAAAAAAAAGUUACAAAAGAAUCACCUUCUGCCUGAGAAUUUUCAGUUCUCAACGCUCCCAGGAAGAAGUUUCCUAGUCGACUGUAGGGCCGUAGAGCUGGUGGUUCCAAACCGAGCUGCAGCAGCAGGAAUGACCCUCGAAGGAGACAGAACCUCAACAAGCGAUGCGUUGUACGAGUCUGUGCCUAAACGGCUCUGCAGCCAUCCCUUCCCCCCGGAGAAUCCAUCCGUCACAAUCCAGCAGUUCUUGAAACCAAGGCUGGUGAG